GUCCACACGGUAAACGAUGGAUACUCGCUGUUGGCGAUAUACGGUCAGCGGCUUAGCGAAAGCGUUAAGUAUCCCACCUGGGGAGUACGCCGGCAACGGUGAAACUCAAAGGAAUUGACGGGGGCCCGCACAAGCGGAGGAACAUGUGGUUUAAUUCGAUGAUACGCGAGGAACCUUACCCGGGCUUAAAUUGCAAAGGAAUUGCGUGGAAACAUGCAAGUCUUCGGACCUUUGUGAAGGUGCUGCAUGGUUGUCGU
RNAcentral lists this ribosomal RNA (257 nucleotides) under uncultured bacterium. RNAcentral describes it as "partial 16S ribosomal RNA". It matches the Rfam family "Bacterial small subunit ribosomal RNA", at positions 793 to 1055 of the family's 1533-position model. The record is from RNAcentral.